RNAcentral lists this ribosomal RNA (162 nucleotides) under uncultured bacterium. RNAcentral's name for it is "partial 16S ribosomal RNA". It matches the Rfam family "Bacterial small subunit ribosomal RNA", at positions 334 to 493 of the family's 1533-position model. The record is from RNAcentral.
UACUCCUACGGGAGGCAGCAGUAAGGAAUAUUGGUCAAUGGGCGCAAGCCUGAACCAGCCAUGCCGCGUGCAGGAAGACGGCCCUCUGGGUUGUAAACUGCUUUUGUACGGGAAUAAACCUUGCUUCGUGAAGCGAGCUGAAUGUACCGUAAGAAUAAGGAU